UCUUCUCCAAUAUAUUUAUGUCAUGUCAAAAUAGUCAAAACAUCACAUCUGUCAUUUUCCUUUCUUGUGCACUGUCACUGCACCUCCAUUUUCACUCCACGUGGUAACUCUUCUGCUUCCAAAGCCAUUCGGGAUCUUCCCAACUUCUCCUUAAAUUCAAUCUUCAAUCUUCAGAUCAAACCUAGACCCCAGUCAAAUUCAAUGCUUCAACCUUCAUGAAAUAUUUUCACCUGUUUGCUACAGCAAAAGCAAUAAGGACUCAGCUGGCUGAGGUGGCUUUUUAAUUUUUGAAGUGUCCAAUUAUGCAGCAGGAGAAAUUAAAUUACUUUCAAGUAUAAAGCAAGCAGCUUGAAAGGAAAUGAAGAUAACUUGAGGAGGGAAAGGUCAGAGUUCAAUUUCCAGGUUUUUUAAUAGAAAUGCAAAGCACAAAGAAGUACAAACAAUGGCCAGCAGAACAGGUCAAAUAUGUAUAAAAUGAGGGAAUGUGAUGAUAAUGUUUCUUAUUUCAUUUUUUAAUGCUCUUGGGGUUCUUUAUAUGUCAACGUCUUCAACCACUUUCUAGCUAGAUAACUUGAUAAAUUGAACCUUUCCUUCCCUAUGGAAAACAGUUUCUGGAACAUAACUGGGGACCCAUUUUGAGUAAAAUAGCUGAAAAUCAUCUAUCCUGAAAGAAAAAAUUAUGGACCUUUGAUAUAGGUGCUUGUGAGAACCCUUUGUUUGUUUACCUUUCCCACUCCAUUUUUUUGCAUGAACAUCUUCCACUUAGUAUUUGCAUUUCCACAGGGAUUACUACUGUGACAGUAGCUAAUUUAAAGUGGACUCUACCUUCAAUGAGAAAAAAGUUGCUUUUGCAGCUGAGGAAUUUAGCCCAGUGGUAGACCGAGGUAUGUUGUAAGAGCACAAGAGGCUCGAUGCUGCUUGUGCAGCCACAGCAAGCUGUGAGACAGACAGAUCCUCAGCAUGAGCAAGGGAAUUUCUGGAAAAUUCCUUUUUUCCAGAAAACAGCCCUCUGCUGCUCCCGUCAUGGCCCAGAGACAGCAGGAGAGAGUUGGUGCUCAGGCCCUGGUGGGGGUGGGAAGGAGAGUGCUCAAUGAUCACCUGAAAAACACUGUGUGCUGUUCUGCUGGAAAUCACAACCACCAACACUGUUUUAAGCUGCAUUUCUGAAGUGCCCAAAAUGCGGGAGUUUCGAGUCACCUCUGCCUGCCCUGCAGCACCUUGCUGUGCCCCAUGAGGGGGAACCCAGCCAGCCUUUACCCUGCCUGCAUGUAGCACACCAGGCUCUCCUCACAGCUCCAGCCUGCAAAAACAACUUGUUUUGCAUAUUGUGCUAAAGUGUGAACACAGCACUCCCCAGCUGGGCAAUAAAAUACUAGCAGUGAAAGCAUAAGCCUGGAACUGGAGAAAAAGCUUCAAAAUUCUGCUGCCUCAAGGUGAAUAAUGAGAAACUAAUUGAAACUCACACUCCAAAUAUAUUAUUUAAACUCUGUUUGCUUUUCUUAGUAUGAGUGAAGUGAUCAAAUCUCUCAUUUACAAUUUUCAGCUAAUCCUUCCACAUAUGCAUUAGACACUGUAAUCCUUUUCAUAGAUGGAGUCUAAUACUUCCUUUCUAAUUCACGGAUGAGUUUUCUUAAUUGAAAAAAUUAGGAUAAAUUGCUCCACUUAUGUGGACUAGUUAUUGUCUUAAAUAAUAAUCACUGUCUGUAUUCCAUCACAGUUUAUUCUGCUACCAAGCACCCUGUUUUUUUAUUAUUUUAUUGGAAAUACCUCUCCUGAGGUCUCUGGAAAUGAGAAAAACAAUGCUUUUAUAACAAAUAUGUUUAGGGAGUGUUUUUUACAGUCUGUUCUAUUCACUCUGCAGCACAUUCUAUUUACUGCAGUUCAGGCCUGAUCUCAGAAAUCUUAUAGUGCACAUAUUAAUCUGUCUCUGAGAAACAGAGAAGAAUGUAAUAAAGUGAAUCUCUGUGUAUUUCUAUAGAACAGUAUAAAAUUCUUUUUUCCAUUUUUACUUUGUCGGAUACAAUUCCAGGUAAAUAAAUGCACUAAUAAUUGCAUUUGAUGCAUGAUUAUACUGAAUGUCAUGUCACACUCUUUAUGUGACUCAGAUAAAGUAGCAUGAAGCCUCCUCUCCCCUUACAAAGCUACAUGGCAUCAACCACUAGGCAGGGACAGUAGCUGUCAGGGCUCUUUCUGUGAAAAUAUUACCUUACUGCCACCAGAUCUGUUCAGUUUUGCCUUCUAAAAGAGGUGUAAAUUGUUCAAGGGCAAAAAUAUUAUUAAUAAGAGCCAGCUUCUUCUGAGACUCAAAGUUUAUCAUUCCAGUUCUUCGUACAAGACUCCUUCAGCAGCUCUAAGCAGGAAUGUCUGCUUUCUUAUUUUUUUCCUAUCUUAAAUGAUACAUCUAGGCAUUUAUUAAGGAAUAUACAGAUAUCUGGGAAGCACUGGAACAUCUCUGCCCUGUAAUGGUACAUUUUGGGCAACGCAUACCAACUGUGAUUGACUACCUCUCACAUUACAGCUCCUCUCUGCUUACAUUAGACAUAAUUUAAUAAAGAUAUUUAAAAAGUAAUAAUGCAUGUCUUGUAUAUACAGAUUAAUAACUCGUGCCUUUUAAUGAUUUAGAUUAUAUUUGGCAUAAGAGAGUUGACCUGCAAUGUCUUUCUUGGCUUUGAUACCAGUUAUGUAUUUUCCCAUUGAAAAUUAAGCCCAUUUAGGCUGAGCUAAAUGGAACCCGACUGUUUGAUCUAAAGAAAUACUGUGACCUUUUACACUGAGCUGAAGAAAACAAUCAUCAUUCCUCACUCUUAAAUUCUAUCAAAAAGGCUCUGUGUUGUGAGGAGGAUUGCUUGAGGUGCUAAAGGCUUGUUUAUUUCAUAUUUAUAUUAAUUCCUCUUCAUUUAAUGACUUUGUAGCAGCUUGAUUAGCAUGAUGAGUAUAGUUUGGAAAGGAAAGUUGGUCCUUCAGAAAAGAUACCGAUGUGAAUUGCAAGAGAGAAUUUCAUCUCUAACUCAGCUGUUCAUUUUUUGUUAGUUCAUAAAUUCAUUCAGAUUGUGUUCUCAAUCAGUAAAAAGAAGACAAAUUCAUCUUGCCUUCACCUCGUUCUGCCUUAAGUUUGGGAGUUAGACAAACCGUAGGGCAACGGGGCCCUUGGCACUGCAAGCACUACUGUUGUAAAAACUGUUUUCUUUUGGCUGGUAUAUUUUGAUGGCAGAUAAAAAGCAGUUAGUGUCUGUGGUAAUUCUGAAUUAUACAAAUGCUAAAGUUUUUAUCAAUACCAGGACAUUUUUAUUAUAACAUUAGUAGCAAACAACAAGCUAUUGUCUUUACUGCUGUGAAAAGUGUUCUCUUUCUCUUUCUGCGUCCCUAUUUCUUUGAUUCUCAGUUCACCAUUGCAGAAGAAAUAUUACCCUCCAUGACUACAGUGAGUAAUCUUCCUUACGUAGUUUUUGCUCUGUAGUAUUUUGGCAAAAUUUGCUAAUUCUCUUUUUGUUUCAUCUGUCUUUGUGCAAGGAAUAAUUUCCCUGCAAAAUUGAACUCAGACAGGGAAUUACAGAGCUUUCAUCUGCUGAGACUGGGAAAAGUGAGCUCUUCAAGAAACAUCUUCUACAUCACGUUUUUUUUUUUUUAUCACAUCCUCUGUGAAUAUUAGCAUCUUUCAGGAGGAAGGAAAGGACUCUGUAGCAGGCACUGUAGGAAAGGGUAAAACAAGAGUCCAGCUGCGACCUUCUUCCCACCCUCAACUCUGCCUAGCCUUGGGGACCCCUUUGCAACAUCCAUAAGGAUGUAGGAUAAGGACCAGUGAUAGAGAGGAAUCAGCUGAAGAUGCAAAUGACAGAUAGGAAGAAGCAGAUGAACCAAAGAUUCAGGGAUAUCUGUAGUACUUGCAACAGCUACAGCUGGAUUUCUUCUGCCCAGUGCAGGCUGGGCAGAUACCUCUGCUCUCUCUCUCACUUACUGAAAAUGUCCUUGCAGAUGUGCAUGUCACAUUAGAUCUCUUCCCACCUUUUCUCUAUUUCCCACCAUCAGCCAAAAGGCUUAUAUACAGUAAAAAAACCCUCUUCACUAGUUCACAUCUAUACAGAACUUACAAGUCUUUUCUUUAAUCCUUUUAUAUGCUUUACUCUUACUUCAUUCUUUACCUUUUCCUGCUAUAAUCUGUAUUUUACCCACAGGGAUUAGCUGCACCUCUGCACACAGUGAGAUUCUAACACUGACUGGUUUUCAUCAUGAACAGAUUAAGCACAAUGAGUGACAUUAAACAGAGUAGUGAAGGCUAUGGCAGGUUGAGGAGCUGAGAGAGCUGGCUGAGCACAGAUGCUCUUGUGCAGAAUGACGAAAGCAGCAGCCUCUCAGCCCAGGGACACGGCAUGCACGCUGCUGGAGGAACAGUCAUGACACUGCUGGGCUGUCUGUCCUGUCACACCAUGCUGACUGUUAGAGAGCAAGCCAAUAAAUGAUGGCAGAGCUGAGAGUCAGUAAGUGACCCAGAGGACUACUCUGAUGAUGUCCAUCACAAAAAGUUAUGCUUGUACUGAGCAACUUUACAGCAAAGGAGACAUCAAAUGUGUCACUUCUGGACUUAGUCAGUGCUUCCCUAACUAACUCAGGAGCAAACUUGAAAGCAAUCCUGCUGAUUCAGUGGCAUAGCAAUUUGCUCAUUGUUCCAAAUGUAGAUCCCUCACAUGCUAACAUAAAUAUACCCACAGGGAUGAUUUUUAAAAUGUCUACCUCUUCUACUGAGGGUUCACUUACAAAGUUGGCUGAUAUUACUGCAUAAAAAGAGAGCCUGAUUCUCUUCUCACAUACACUGAUUAUAGGCAAGAGGAAUGCCUUUGGCUUGAAUGGAUGUAUUUCUAAAAAUCCAUUUCACAUUCAUUUGUGCAUCUUUAACCUGAGUCUGAUAGCUGAUAUAAAGACAAGGCAGCAAAAAAAAAAAAAAAAAAAAAAAAAAAAAAAA
This 4957-nucleotide long non-coding RNA is filed under the name Taeniopygia guttata (zebra finch). RNAcentral describes it as "lncRNA (ENSTGUG00000027731.1)". The record is from RNAcentral. Lineage: Eukaryota; Metazoa; Chordata; Aves; Passeriformes; Estrildidae.